UUUUGCAAUUCUCUCCCCAAUGUAUCCACCCUUAGAAGGAUUAAAGAUUCCAGCAGUGAAGACAAGUCACAAAAUUCCAAGAGAAGCUCAAAGUGAGGUUUGCAUCAACUCUGCGCUUCGGCCAUGCAAACUGUACAUGCCUAUGCAAGGAGGACACUUUGAAUUCCUGCCACAAAACUAAUUUAAGAUAGAAUUUGUAGCUCCGAUACAAUCAUGAUUACAGUAUUUAUUCUUUGAUAUAAAUGUAUUUACCUAGCCACCUAGCCUCCAAACAACCCCCAUAGGUAGUAUUCGUAGUUGGGGGGGGGGGGCACCCUACAUGAUGUAGUAGUCCUUUUGUUUGUGCUAUGAGAAGCUACAGAUUUCAUUUGCUUGUCGCUUUCUCUUCCCCAGCAUCUCGCACUGCGAAUAAUGCAAAGGCGUUAUCUUGUUACAUUUAAAAGCAACAGAGAUGCGCUUUCACACAUCUGGUUGUCCUGGCACAAAAGAAGGGGAGCAAAACCUGCAUCUUCAUCCUCGAAAUGAGAGGGAGAGAGGCGUACAUCAUAUGACCUGCAAUUUUGUGAUGCGGGUGUGUGUGUGUGUGUUAUAUUCAGCCUCAAUAAUUCAUUGCUUUUGCAGGUUGAGGGAAUUGAUCCCAGCCUAGGAUAUCCCCUAGAGCUCGUUCCAAGAAGAUGGAAGUCACACUUUAAAAAAGAAGAAGAAGAAAUCUGCAGAUUAUCAUCGUAGGAUCAAAACCCUUUGUCUCUUGUAAACAUCUUCCCUCCCUACAAAGAGGGAAGAGGGAGAUUGUAUUCCACAUUUAUUCAGAGGCAAAUGGAUAUAAAGACCUUUGACAAGAUAUGCAAGGAAAUACAAGACUCUUGGGACUCCAUUAAAAGCUGCUGGCAAGCUGCCGACAACCGGCUGGAAAGCUUUCCCUUUAAACUGCAGAUAAGGAAGAUUCCAAGAUCUCCGUAUCCACGUAUUAACGGAUUGGCACCAAUUUAAUAUCCUAUCUCUCUGAACUGAUUCUAAGCAUAACUACUAUUUUGCUUUUUGCACUGAGACCUGUCCGCUCUGGAAAAAUCAUCUUUAUUACUACAGCAACAAGUUUAAAGAGACAACAGCUGAUUGUCAAAUCCAGCCUCUUUGCCGGUGCGCCAUUCGCCUCGCCAUUUCAUGGCUUACCAAGUUUGGACUGCAUGCUGAACAUGGAGAGGGUCAUCCAGGGGUCUACUGGUGCCUCGGGCAGUGACCCCCAUCUCCAUCGGCCCCUCCUCUCACUGGACCUUGGCUAGCUUGGCCAUGCUAUGGACACUCAAUGGAACCCCUUCUUCCUUUCCUCUUGGAUUCUGUACUUUCUUAUGAGACUUAUGGAUUUACCCUGGACUUUUGGGUAGGUGAGAGUGGGCAAUAUGAUUUCUAACUCUAUGAAUGUAUUCUAUGUAUCCCUAUAUGUCUCUCUUUUCCCUUAUGUCCCCAAUGUAUGAAAUAUUAAGACCCACCCCUGUUCGACCUGGAUGGCAGAAAGUCAUCUGCAUUCCUGAGAGGGGAAAUCCUCUCACAAAGGACAUAAUCAAAUACCUUGCAUGAACAAUAGCCAUUGGUCUUCCCUUUUGAGUCUCAGAGCAAGGCCGCUCAAAAGAGGAAUUGAUCACUUGGUUCUUUGUCACAUUCAAAUCUGGGACGAUCUAGCCUUCGGAAAGCCAAGAUCGUCCUGCCUGUCAUUCCAUUUGUCAAUUUACCCAGCCGAACAUAUUAACAAAUAACUCACCCAUCUGCUCUGCUUCCAGCCUUUUGAAAACCGGAAUCUGGCAAGCCACGCCAGACCAAUAUGUAUAUUUUCACCCCUGAAAAUAAUCUUGGGACACCUUGAGGGCUUUUAAGCUGUCGGUGCCCAUUAUGUACAGAUUAGACUCACUGAUUCAUUCACAAAUCCACUCAGUCGCCCUUUGUCAAGGACCCAGACCGCCCCCUCGCUCCUGAUUGGCUGAGGAGCCGAAGUGGGGAUAGCUCUCUGAUUGGGCAGGGUGUUCGCGUCCCCGCUCCAAUGACCAAUCAAUGUGAAGCCGGCUGAGGGAGGCGGGGCGGGAAAUUCAAACCUCGCCACCCUGUUUUUUCACUAUAAAGGGUGCUGUAUUCUGUUGUAUGACAUGUCUUCUUGACGAAUGAUUGUGGUUGACAUCCUAUCCAGCUGGAUCAAAUAAAAUUUGGUGGUCCCUUCUUCAGCUUAUGGUGAGAAUUAUUGGGGAUUGGGGGAUCUAUGAUUCGCAGCGGCUCUCUCCUUCUUGCCAGAAGCACGGACCCUCGGGGAGGUCCCAGGUCCCACUCCUUUCUAAGGGGACCUCCAAAUUCUAGCUCAAUUUCAAGAACAUUCUACCAUAUGCUAGCCACAUUAGAUGAUACAUGGGGGAAACAACAUACUAUUUUCUAUCAUGAAAAUACAAACUAGUCAUGGCUGGUAGUUCCCAUGUGAGUGCAAUGGUGAAUCAAUUCCAGGAUUUAAAGUAUCUCUCCAUGACAUUGGAAUCUAACCUUUGUUGUGUCCUCUCCCCAUUUAUUUAAAAGAUUUUUGAUCCUUUCUUCUAACUUGCAUGAACACUCACCUCUUCACUCACAGAACUGGGAACCAAUUUUGAUGCUGCACUUUGCUGCCCCAGUGCCAUCCCAGGUGUUUUGUAUAAAUAUACAAUGAAUGUAGAAUCAUAAAGUUGGAAGAAACCACAUGGGCCAUCUACUCCAACCUCCUGCUGUUCUGGAAAAGCCAAUCAAAGCACCCCUAUAGAUGGGCAUCCAGCCUGUUUAAAGGUCUCCAAGGAAGGAGCUUCCACCACACUCCAAGACAGUGAGGUCCACUGUUUUUUUUAUUAUUAUUGUGUCAGAAGCAACUUGAGAACAUACUGCAAGUCGCUUCUGGUGUGAGAGAAUUGGCUGUCUACAGAGAUAUUGCCUAGGGGACUCCUGGAUGUGUUACCAUCCUGCUGGGAGGCUUCUCUCAUGUCCCCACAAGCUAGAGCUGACAGACGGGAGCUCACCCUGUCUCACGGAUUCAAACCGGCAACCUUCAAGUCAGCAACUCAACCUUCAGGUCAGCAGUCCAGCUGGCACAAAGAUUUAACCCACUUGCUUCAUUAUUAAACAGCUCUUACAGUCAAUAAGUUCUUCCUAAUGUUCAGGUGGAAUGUAUGUAAAUAAUAGGUUCAUAUUUAACUAUAAGGAGUCGGAAAAAUUAUUAUAAUUCUUUUAUGCUUCCUCAUGUCCAAAAGCAGCUUUCUAAGCAGCAAAGAAAGUUGUUCUUCCAAAAUUUAAAAACCAUGUGCCAACUACAGAAGGAAUUUGAACUAGAUGGCCCAUGUGGUCUCUUCCAACUCUACAUUCUAUCAUUUCAGGUUUUGGCAAAUUGAAUGACAUGAACAGCAAAAUUACCAUUGUGAUGUUCUAGAUAUCUGGACAAUCACUGGGUCUGUGUUAUGUGAAUUAGUGUAUUUUUCAUCAGACAGUCACAGAAUCUAUUUAAAGUUCAUUUUGCCCCUUCUCACAAGGGAGAAGCUUGGAAGAAAAAGUAGGGCAAUGAAAGCCAGAACCAGUAAAUGCUGAUCCCAUGACAACGCUAUCUGUGCCACCACAACUAUUAUGGAUUUGUAAAAGUGCAAGGAAUUGGUAUCCUUAUGACUUGCCUUUUUAUGGCUGCUUUUACUAUGUUUUAAUAUGGAAUUGUUGUUGUUUUAUUUGGUUUUGUCUGCCUUUCCUUCUAACCUUACUUUUUAACUCAUUUAUUAAAGUAUAUAAUUCCCUUGUUAAAACAAUGUCUACUAAUUUCUUUCAAGGCAAGCUUGGAAAGUACUAAUCAUCUAUCUAUAUAUAUAGCGUCACUCCACCGGGCAAAACAACAAAACUAAAGGCCCCCCAACCUAGAAAAUUGACAACACAACCCCUCAUCCACGUCUCUACAUUCUUACGCUCAACAAAGUUCCCCCCCCCCCCCAAAACAAGGAAACACCCACUCUUUGAAGGUCCAAACCCAUUCGGUACUCAUCACUCUCUCAUCUCAAAACACAAAUUAAAGAGCAACACUCUGAAAACAAAGGAAUUCCAUCCAGGAAACAAUCAGGGCCACCUAAUACCUCCCAACAAAGGAUUCCCCCCCUCUAAGACAUGGAACCACCUUAAAAAAGCCACAGCAACGCGUGGCCGGGCACAGCUAGUGACUUAUAAAACCUUAUAUAGCUUAGGUCUAGAUCAGUGCUUCCCAAAGUGGGCAAUAUAGCUGGUGAUAUCAAUGGUGGUGGGAGGGAUAGUUUCCUGGGAUGCACUGAUUAAAAAUAAGGGGACGGUCAUAAAAAUAUAACCAUCAGCAAAGAAUCAAUAGCCUAACAUAGUGGCCACUUACUCCACUAAACGGCAAGGCAGGCACUUGUACAAAAUAGUUGCAAGGACAGGGCUGCUGGGAAAGUGCAAAAGCCAGACAAUAUGCUUGGGCUAGAAUACAGCACAAACCAAUGGAUCCAAAUUACAACAAAGGAAAUUCUACCUGAAUAUUAGA
Long non-coding RNA from Anolis carolinensis (green anole), 4525 nucleotides. RefSeq lists it as uncharacterized. The transcript has 3 exons. The record is from RefSeq and is a predicted model, not a curated record. NCBI's taxonomy places the organism in Eukaryota, Metazoa, Chordata, Lepidosauria, Squamata, Anolidae.